Molecule: long non-coding RNA, 1084 nt
Organism: Caretta caretta (loggerhead turtle)
Lineage: Eukaryota; Metazoa; Chordata; Testudines; Cheloniidae
Source: RefSeq, a predicted model, not a curated record
GGUGGGGAAGAUGAAUACGAUCAGGAGUGGUACAAUUCUGUAGUGGUCCUUGUAUAAAUCAGCCCACACAGCCAUUGGUUCUGCGGAAAAGGACCUAGGGGUUACAGUGGACAAGACAGACAGGCAUGCCUGCAAAAUGCAGACAGUGCAACAAAGAAAUGCAAGGCCUGGUUGCCCAAAGGAAACAACAUCCUGAGAAGUGUUCCUUCUCAGGAGGAAGCUCCGUUGAAGAUGAUGAAAGGAACAUGACUGAACAUGCAGGAUCUUCAGGGUGUUCCUAAAGCAUGAUGAAUGCAUCUGAUUGAUUGGGAAGAAACGGCUUGGACUGGGGUUCCCAGCUUUCCUCAGCCAGGCCUCUUCAAGCUCUGCUCCAGGAAAACUGGCUCCAGUAGCUCAAGCCAGCAGAGGCCCUGCAUGGGAGGAAAGCUCAUAAAACCCAGGUGUGUUGUCGCUCUGCAUUGCUGUCAGCCUUAGAACAUGAGCCUCCCUCAGAGCUGUGUGCUCCCUGCCAAGUGAUUGGAAAGAAAGUGAAGGGCCAGCCAGGGCAGGUGUCAGGUUUCUGCUCAGGGAAAGGAAUGAGGCUGUGCUGUCUGAAAUCCCACACAUGCAAUUUCACUGGGGAGUACCACAAGCCUUAUCAGGAUUCAGGCACUGGCUGCUCAGAAGAGGGAUAGUUUCCCAUUCUUGGUCUCUCUGCGCUCUUUCUCUCUCUAACCCUCUGCUCUUUCUUUCUCUCAUCUGUUUCCUUUGACGCUGGUCCCAGGCCCACUGCCAAGUCUCUGAUCCAUUAGUGAGGUGCCUUGUUGACUGAAGCACAAAUCAUGAUGGAUCCGGGUGCAAUUAGCAGCUCCUAGCACCUCAUCUGGAAGACAUUAGCUUGGCUGGGGGGAGGCAGAAUUGGGAGGGGAAGAGAGAAAUACGAAAGAAUUGAUGUAGAUGCCAAACUGAAUAAAUAGCCUAUUUUUAUAACAUUAAGGAACCACAAUCCAGCAGCAGAUAGUGAUGUGCAAACAGGGGAGACAGGGCGUGUAGUUACCAUAUCCUAGUCAACAUGGCCCCCAGAACUAUAACACAUUCUGGGGGU